This 76-nucleotide microRNA precursor is filed under the name Gouania willdenowi (blunt-snouted clingfish). Its description in RNAcentral is "miRNA (ENSGWIG00000020536.1)". It matches the Rfam family "let-7 microRNA precursor family". Rfam says of the family: This family represents the microRNAs (miRNA) let-7 and mir-98. let-7 was identified from a study of developmental timing in C. elegans, and was later shown to be part of a much larger class of non-coding RNAs termed miRNAs. The extents of the hairpin precursors are not generally known and are estimated based on hairpin prediction. The products are thought to have regulatory roles through complementarity to mRNA. The record is from RNAcentral. Lineage: Eukaryota; Metazoa; Chordata; Actinopteri; Blenniiformes; Gobiesocidae.
GGGAUGAGGUAGUAGUUUGUAUAGUUUUAGGAUCACACCAGAUCUGGGAGAUAACUAUACAGUCUACUGUCUUUCC